This 253-nucleotide ribosomal RNA is filed under the name uncultured bacterium. Its description in RNAcentral is "partial 16S ribosomal RNA". It matches the Rfam family "Bacterial small subunit ribosomal RNA", at positions 524 to 776 of the family's 1533-position model. The record is from RNAcentral.
UACGUAGGGGGCAAGCGUUGUCCGGAAUCAUUGGGCGUAAAGAGCGUGUAGGCGGCCAGAUAAGUCCGCUGUGAAAUCUCGAGGCUCAACUUCGAGCUGUCGGUGGAAACUGUCUGGCUAGAGUCCGGAAGAGGAGAAUGGAAUUCCUGGUGUAGCGGCGAAAUGCGCAGAUAUCAGGAAGAACACCCGUGGCGAAGGCGGUUCUCUGGGACGGUACUGACGCUGAGACGCGAAAGCUAGGGCAGCAAACGGG